GACGAGCCACACAAACGUUAUUCGGAAUUACUGGGCUUAAAGGGUGCGUAGGCGGCGCGGAAAGUGGGGUGUGAAAGCCCUCGGCUCAACCGAGGAAUUGCGCUCCAAACUACCGUGCUCGAGGAAGACAGAGGUUAGCGGAACUUCGGGUGGAGCGGUGAAAUGCGUUGAUAUCCGAAGGAACACCGGUGGCGAAAGCGGCUAACUGGGUCUUAUCUGACGCUGAUGCACGAAAGCCAGGGUAGCAAACGGG
RNAcentral lists this ribosomal RNA (253 nucleotides) under uncultured bacterium. Its description in RNAcentral is "partial 16S ribosomal RNA". It matches the Rfam family "Bacterial small subunit ribosomal RNA", at positions 524 to 776 of the family's 1533-position model. The record is from RNAcentral.